Micropterus salmoides (largemouth bass) is the source of this 539-nucleotide long non-coding RNA. RefSeq lists it as uncharacterized. The transcript is spliced from 4 exons. The record is from RefSeq and is a predicted model, not a curated record. NCBI's taxonomy places the organism in Eukaryota, Metazoa, Chordata, Actinopteri, Centrarchiformes, Centrarchidae.
CUCCAGUUUGAGUCGACAGAGCAGAAGGAGCAAACCUGAAGGCUGAGGCAGGACUGCCUGAAGUCCAGAAGAUGAGGGUUUGUGUGGAGGAAGAGGAGGACAGAGCAGAGUCUCCAGGAUCCAGCUGUCUGUCUAUGAAGAGUGACCGGUCCAAAGCUGAUCCUCUAUUAUUCAGUAAUGAACCUGGACCCUCAGACACAAAUGUCGGACAAAUGUGGAUAUUUUUCAACAACAAGCAACAAAUCAGUCAUGUUUGAGUCAUGUUUCUGUGGAGGAGCAGACGUCUUUCUCUACUUUGUGUCAGGACGUCCUGAAGGAUCCAGUCUCUACCAGCUGUGGACACUGGUUCUGCAGACAGUGCAUCACCUCAUACUGGGACCAGUCUGCUUCACCAGGAGACUCCUCCUGUCCCCAGUGUGGAGAAAGAUCCAGAACAAGAGCUGGACUGCAGACAGCCGGUCAGAUCAACACUGUACAAAUCAGUGGUGGUCUGCAGGAAGUUUUAGAUGAACAUAAGAUCAGUCUGAGGAGGAGAUGUG